AAAAUUGUAACUUGGUCAAAUGAAUGUUAAUUCUUAAUUAAUUCUGUUUUAUGUUUUUACUACUGCCAAUCACAGCCAAGUGAUCUAAGGAAACAUCGGAGAAAGAUUGCAGUUGUGGAAGAAGAUGGUCGAGAGGACAAAGCAACAAUUAAAUGUGAAACUUCUCCUCCUCCUACCCCUAGAGCCCUCAGAAUGACUCACACUCUCCCUUCUUCCUACCACAAUGAUGCUCGAAGUAGUUUAUCUGUCUCUCUUGAGCCAGAAAGCCUUGGGCUUGGUAGUGCCAACAGCAGCCAAGACUCUCUUCACAAAGCCCCCAAGAAGAAAGGAAUAAAGUCUUCAAUAGGACGUUUGUUUGGUAAAAAAGAAAAAGCUCGACUUGG
RNAcentral lists this small RNA (383 nucleotides) under Pongo abelii (Sumatran orangutan). Its description in RNAcentral is "retained intron". Lineage: Eukaryota; Metazoa; Chordata; Mammalia; Primates; Hominidae. The record is from RNAcentral.